Molecule: transfer RNA, 71 nt
Filed under: Marmota monax (woodchuck)
Lineage: Eukaryota; Metazoa; Chordata; Mammalia; Rodentia; Sciuridae
Description: tRNA.Ala
Source: RNAcentral
GUGGUUGUGGCUCAGAGACAGAGCACUUGCCUAGCAUACGUGAGGCACUGGGUUCAAUCCUCAGCACCACA